UACGUAGAAGACUAGUGUUAUUCAUCUUUAGUAGGUUUAAAGGGUACGUAGACGGUGAAAUUAAUCUACACGAUAUGUUUUCACUAGAGUUAUAUAUGAGGAGGGGAGUAUUUAUGGAGUAGAGUUGAAAUUCAUUGAUACCAUGACGACUGGUAACGGCGAAAGCAACCUUUUAUCUAAUAACUGACGUUGAGGGCCGAAGGC
RNAcentral lists this ribosomal RNA (204 nucleotides) under uncultured prokaryote. RNAcentral describes it as "partial 16S ribosomal RNA". It matches the Rfam family "Bacterial small subunit ribosomal RNA", at positions 524 to 760 of the family's 1533-position model. The record is from RNAcentral.